UCGACAAACUUGGCUUAACCGCGUUCAACCACGGCAAUUCUUAUAGAAGGCGCUCGCGUGCGGAAGUAUUGUCGACUGCUCGGCCUGAUAUAGGCAGUAUUUCUACUGAGGAUAGUAUGGCUUUAUUUAAGGUAGAAACGCGGUUUGUCUGUCUCUAACCAGGUGCGGACGCUCGGUGGCAUCCUGAUCGGCAUGAUCACGAGAGAGGCGGGAUUAUCGAGAAGUCUCUACUUGGAUGCCGACCGCUUCAACCUCACCUUUCCUCUCGAUUUGGACUGUGCACGUGAAGGCAGCGCUACUGGCAUGCACCAUGCUCAUAGACUUCAUGUUCUUCGAGACGACAUGUUAGUGGGAAAAGGAAGGUUCUCGAGUUGGAGCAUUCGCCCUUCGUGUCGAACGCCGAAUUCACGACGCAGCGCGUUAUUUUAUUAAUUUGCGACUUAGGUCUAGAGAAAUGAAUAAGCUUUUC
Dermacentor silvarum is the source of this 469-nucleotide long non-coding RNA. RefSeq lists it as uncharacterized. Lineage: Eukaryota; Metazoa; Arthropoda; Arachnida; Ixodida; Ixodidae. The transcript has 2 exons. The record is from RefSeq and is a predicted model, not a curated record.